RNAcentral lists this ribosomal RNA (508 nucleotides) under uncultured bacterium. Its description in RNAcentral is "partial 16S ribosomal RNA". It matches the Rfam family "Bacterial small subunit ribosomal RNA", at positions 28 to 507 of the family's 1533-position model. The record is from RNAcentral.
GACGAACGCUGGCGGCGUGCCUAAUACAUGCAAGUCGAACGCUUCUUUCCUCCCGAGUGCUUGCACUCAAUUGGAAAGAGGAGUGGCGGACGGGUGAGUAACACGUGGGUAACCUACCCAUCAGAGGGGGAUAACACUUGGAAACAGGGGCUAAUACCGCGUAACAGUUUAUUCCGCAUGGCAUAAGAGUGAAGGGCGCUUUCGGGUGUCGCUGAUGGAUGGACCCGCGGGGCAUUAGCUAGUUGGUGAGGUAACGGCUCACCAAGGCAACGAUGCAUAGCCGACCUGAGAGGGUGAUCGGCCACACUGGGACUGAGACACGGCCCAGACUCCUACGGGAGGCAGCAGUAGGGAAUCUUCGGCAAUGGACGAAAGUCUGACGGAGCAACGCCGCGUGAGUGAAGAAGGUUUUCGGAUCGUAAAACUCUGUUGUUAGAGAAGAACAAGGACGUUAGUAACUGAACGUCCCCUGACGGUACCUAAACAGAAAGCCACGGCUAACUACGUG